CCCAUUACUGUGGGAUAACCUGCCGAAAGGCAGACUAAUACCGCAUAGUCUUCGAUGACGGCAUCAGAUUUGAAGUAAAGAUUUAUCGGUAAUGGAUGGGGAUGCGUCUGAUUAGCUUGUUGGCGGGGUAACGGCCCACCAAGGCGACGAUCAGUAGGGGUUCUGAGAGGAAGGUCCCCCACAUUGGAACUGAGACACGGUCCAAACUCCUACGGGAGGCAGCAGAA
RNAcentral lists this ribosomal RNA (227 nucleotides) under uncultured Prevotella sp. RNAcentral describes it as "partial 16S ribosomal RNA". It matches the Rfam family "Bacterial small subunit ribosomal RNA", at positions 129 to 354 of the family's 1533-position model. Lineage: Bacteria; Pseudomonadati; Bacteroidota; Bacteroidia; Bacteroidales; Prevotellaceae. The record is from RNAcentral.